RNAcentral lists this transfer RNA (73 nucleotides) under Neolewinella antarctica. RNAcentral describes it as "Lewinella antarctica tRNA-Arg". It matches the Rfam family "tRNA". Rfam says of the family: Transfer RNA (tRNA) molecules are approximately 80 nucleotides in length. Their secondary structure includes four short double-helical elements and three loops (D, anti-codon, and T loops). Further hydrogen bonds mediate the characteristic L-shaped molecular structure. tRNAs have two regions of fundamental functional importance: the anti-codon, which is responsible for specific mRNA codon recognition, and the 3' end, to which the tRNAs corresponding amino acid is attached (by aminoacyl-tRNA synthetases). tRNAs cope with the degeneracy of the genetic code in two manners: having more than one tRNA (with a specific anti-codon) for a particular amino acid; and 'wobble' base-pairing, i.e. permitting non-standard base-pairing at the 3rd anti-codon position. Lineage: Bacteria; Pseudomonadati; Bacteroidota; Saprospiria; Saprospirales; Lewinellaceae. The record is from RNAcentral.
GGGCCCAUAGCUCAGUGGAUAGAGCACCUGAUUUCUAAUCUGGCGGUCGCAGGUUCGAGACCUGCUGGGCUCA